AGAGGGAGAGAGAGAAGCACGCUCCCCACUGAGCAGGGAGCCUGAUGCAGGACUCGAUCCCAGGACCCUGCGAUCGUGACCUGAGCUGAAGGCAGAUGCUUAACCGACUGAACCACCCAGGGAAAGGAGAAUCCAUCCCAGUAUGUGAAACUAUACAGAAAAAAAAGACUACACCAACCUGAAUAUGUGUUGAUUCCAAGGGCUUUCCCACGCAAACCUCCAUCUCCGAGUAUGCUAUCUGGGAGACCCAAGGUGUGAAAUAUGCCCCAUUGAAUACUCAGGAGUCAAACGUCUUGAUGACAUUGCCAAUUGACAGUAAGUUCUAGCAGCUAUUACUACACUGAAAUGUAUCCUGAUCACUUAAUCGAUAUAAAUGUUA
Molecule: long non-coding RNA, 379 nt
Organism: Mirounga angustirostris (Northern elephant seal)
Lineage: Eukaryota; Metazoa; Chordata; Mammalia; Carnivora; Phocidae
Exons: 3
Source: RefSeq, a predicted model, not a curated record